This 854-nucleotide ribosomal RNA is filed under the name uncultured bacterium. RNAcentral's name for it is "bacterial SSU rRNA". It matches the Rfam family "Bacterial small subunit ribosomal RNA", at positions 28 to 896 of the family's 1533-position model. The record is from RNAcentral.
GAUGAACGCUGGCGGCGUGCCUAAUACAUGCAAGUCGAACGCGAAGCCCUGGAGUAAUCUGGGGUGGAGAGUGGCGGACGGGUGAGUAACACAUGGCUGACCUGCCCUUCAGAGGGGGACAACUGCUGGAAACGGCAGCUAAUACCCCAUACGCUCGUCGGGAUUAGAAGCUGGCGAGGAAAGGUUGAGGCGCUGAAGGAGGGGGCUGUGGCCCAUCAGCUAGUUGGUAGGGUAACGGCCUACCAAGGCGAGGACGGGUAGGGGGCCUGAGAGGGUGACCCCCCACACGGGCACUGAGACACGGGCCCGACUCCUACGGGAGGCAGCAGUAAGGGAUAUUGCGACAAUGGGCGAAAGCCUGACGCAGCAACGCCGCGUGCGGGAUGACGGCCUUCGGGUUGUAAACCGCUUUUCAGGGGGAAGAGGAAGGACGGUACCCCUGGAAUAAGUCUCGGCUAACUACGUGCCAGCAGCCGCGGUAAAACGUAGGAGGCGAGCGUUAUCCGGAUUUACUGGGUGUAAAGCGCGUGCAGGCGGUCUGGGAAGUGGUGCGUGAAAGCGCCCGGCUCAACCGGGCGAGGCCGUGCCAAACUGCCAGGCUAGAGGUAGGUAGAGGCGUGUGGAAUUCCGGGUGUAGUGGUGAAAUGCGUAGAGAUCCGGAGGAACACCAGUGGCGAAGGCGACACGCUGGGCCUGACCUGACGCUCAGACGCGAAAGCAUGGGGAGCGAACGGGAUUAGAAACCCCGGUAGUCCAUGCUGUAAACGAUGUCGACUAGGUGUGGGGGUGUAACAGCCUCUGUGCCGCAGCUAACGUGAUAAGUCGACCACCUGGGGACUACGGCCGCAAGGUUA